Molecule: small nucleolar RNA, 207 nt
Organism: Dicentrarchus labrax (European seabass)
Lineage: Eukaryota; Metazoa; Chordata; Actinopteri; Moronidae
Gene: U3
Rfam family: Small nucleolar RNA U3
About the family: Small nucleolar RNAs (snoRNAs) are involved in the processing and modification of rRNA in the nucleolus. There are two main classes of snoRNAs: the box C/D class, and the box H/ACA class.
Source: Ensembl
AAGACUAUACUUUCAGGGAUCAUUUCUUUAGUUCUUGACUUGAGAAAUGUGUUUCUAAAGAGUUUGGUCUCGCUGCCCACGAUGAAGAGAUCAGAUGUUUUCUUCAGAGCGGGAAACUGGUGGGAAGACUUUGUUUUUUCUCCACUGUUGAUGAUUGUUCAGAGUUUCUUAAUGAGACUCUAAUGGAGGAAACAUGGUCUGAGUGGA